This 595-nucleotide ribosomal RNA is filed under the name uncultured bacterium. RNAcentral's name for it is "bacterial SSU rRNA". It matches the Rfam family "Bacterial small subunit ribosomal RNA", at positions 338 to 956 of the family's 1533-position model. The record is from RNAcentral.
CCUACGGGAGGCAGCAGUGGGGAAUAUUGGACAAUGGGCGAAAGCCUGAUCCAGCAAUGCCGCGUGAGUGAUGAAGGCCUUAGGGUCGUAAAGCUCUUUUACCAGGGAUGAUAAUGACAGUACCUGGAGAAUAAGCUCCGGCUAACUCCGUGCCAGCAGCCGCGGUAAUACGGAGGGAGCUAGCGUUGUUCGGAAUUACUGGGCGUAAAGCGUGCGUAGGCGGUUAUUCAAGUCAGAGGUGAAAGCCCGGGGCUCAACCCCGGAACGGCCUUUGAAACUAGAUAACUAGAAUCUUGGAGAGGUCAGUGGAAUUCCGAGUGUAGAGGUGAAAUUCGUAGAUAUUCGGAAGAACACCAGUGGCGAAGGCGACUGACUGGACAAGUAUUGACGCUGAGGUACGAAAGCGUGGGGAGCAAACAGGAUUAGAUACCCUGGUAGUCCACGCCGUAAACGAUGAUAACUAGCUGUCCGGACACUUGGUGUUUGGGUGGCGCAGCUAACGCAUUAAGUUAUCCGCCUGGGGAGUACGGUCGCAAGAUUAAAACUCAAAGGAAUUGACGGCUGAGAGUUGUCGAGGACGACGACGAGGGAGAGG